This 465-nucleotide ribosomal RNA is filed under the name uncultured bacterium. RNAcentral's name for it is "partial 16S ribosomal RNA". It matches the Rfam family "Bacterial small subunit ribosomal RNA", at positions 28 to 507 of the family's 1533-position model. The record is from RNAcentral.
GACGAACGCUGGCGGCGUGCUUAACACAUGCAAGUCGAACGGAAAGGCCCUGCUUGCAGGGUACUCGAGUGGCGAACGGGUGAGUAACACGUGGGUGAUCUGCCCUGCACUUCGGGAUAAGCCUGGGGAACUGGGUCUAAUACCGGAUAGGAGCCAUUUUUAGUGUGAUGGUUGGAAAGUUUUUUCGGUGUAGGAUGAGCUCGCGGCCUAUCAGCUUGUUGGUGGGGUAAUGGCCUACCAAGGCGGCGACGGGUAGCCGGCCUGAGAGGGUGGACGGCCACAUUGGGACUGAGAUACGGCCCAGACUCCUACGGGAGGCAGCAGUGGGGAAUAUUGCACAAUGGGCGCAAGCCUGAUGCAGCGACGCCGCGUGGGGGAUGACGGCCUUCGGGUUGUAAACGCCUUUCGCUAGGGACGAAGCUUUUUGUGACGGUACCUAGAGAAGAAGCACCGGCUAACUACGUG